UUUGUGAAACGUCGACCAAAAAUUUUAUUUAUUCAAAUAAUAUUUUUUUCCAAUUUCUCUUUGCAUAAUAAAAAUUAUAUAAUCGCCGAAGUGAUCAACAUGAGAAGUAUCUAAUCGUCCUUAGAAAUUGUCAAUUUUUCCUUAAAAUUCAUUGACAGUGACAUGUUACUUUACAUUAUACGUCGAAUUUUAAAAAAUGAGAAAAAAAAGUACAGAUCUAUAUAUCUCAUGCAUGGAGAACACACAUUGAAUUAUGCGUAAUCGGUCAGUGAUAUUGCAUUAUCUAAAAUUAUCGACCUCUUCCAAAACUCUUCUAGUGCUUCUAAGGAAUACUAUAUAUCAUCGUACUGGAAUCAAUAGUAAGGCAUUUCCUUUUGAAACAUGGACCUUGUCUCUAACUUAUCCGUAAUAUUUUGUUCUAUACCUUAUUCGUCAGGUGUCUGAAAUUAAACAAACAAAAAAUAGGAAGAAAAAAUUUAUAUUGGCUUUGAUAACGAAUCUUCUCGAAAUCGAUGUAGUACUGUUUUACUAUGCUGCUAUCGAAUGGUGGUACGGGGCUAGGGAAUUAUCCCUUCAAAGGAUCGAUAAGGAAGCGGCUUCAGUAAGAGGAUAUAAUCGAUUGCGUUGGGAAAGGUUUUUCGAAGGAACGUCCAACGGUUCAUACGGAUCAUGGGUCAAAGUUGAAUUUUUGCUCUAAUGCGGGAACGUUCCUUCGUAGAAAAAUUAGGGACGAUAAGGAAAACCUUAGGGCGAUUAAUAGUGAUUCCGAAAAAGAUGUUAUGCGAAUCAAUAUUGAAGAAGAAGAAGAGGAUGAAGAUGAAGAAGAAGGAGAUACAGGGGAUGAAGUAGUAGAGGAGAUAUACUAAACUAACCGAAGACGACAGCAGUUCCAAUAGCGUGGAUGUAUUGCAAAGGAGCCGAAUUGACUUAUAUUUGAAUUGUAAUUCCAAAGAAAAACAACGCUCCACCAGAUAAUAAAACAUUGCACAUCCAAAGUGAAACACAUUUCCGUUGACACUUUCUGUUUCUCCGUACAUCUGACGAUACAUCCUACAUGGAUAGUACAAAUGCCAGAACAUCAACGAGAUUAAUAUAUGGAAACAUUUUCCUUUUUACAUUUAUGUUUAAAUGGAAAAUCAAUCAAUGCUGUGUUUAUUUAAUUGUAAGAUAUUUUAGAGAUCAUAUGCAGCCGAAGAAAGUAUUAUUAUUUAUAAGUGAAUUUAUCUCAAAUAUUCUAAAUGGUAUGAAUCCCAAAUUGGAGUAAUUAUCCGGUAACUUCUAUAAUAUGGAAAUGGUAUUUUCUAAUAAAUCUUAUACAAAUAUAGUGCUAAAUUUAAAGAAUAUUAAUGGAAUAAUAGAAUGAUUAGUGAUAAAGAUGUUUCAAUCGUUUCUAUUAUUUGUAAAGCUGUUGUUUGGCACGUAUGAUAGCUAGGGAUUAUUUAUCGUAUGAGACACACUUGCGUAUUACUGGGUCGAAAAUCACGGAAGGAAUGACUUACCCUAGUUUAAUUAGCCACAUGUUAGCUGGAUAGAAGACCAAGCUUCGUAAAAUCUAAUUCCCUAACUAGAACGCAUGGGGAUAAAUAAUUUCCCCUCUCCUAUAGUUAUGUAAUUAUAUGUAUAUAUAUUCUAUGUUCACGCGAAAUUAUCUGUGUAAUAUAUCUUGGAAUUUCCUAAUGAGAAUCUUACAAUAAUUCGUCUAUUUUUUAAUUGAAAUAAUCGUAUAAAACUGUAAUUAUUUAUGAUAUAAUUAACUAUUAUAAUAAUAAUUAUUGUAAUUAUCAAGACUAAUUAAUCGGAUAUUCAUAUAGGAAAUUCGCACUCUUACUUCUUUCGUAAGUCUACCUUAUACUUACUAGUUAUAUUUAAUAGAUUAAAUGUUUAUUUAUUGGAAAAGAGAUUGGAUUACAAUCUCGCUAAGUAGAUACAUGUCGAAGAACUUUAAACGGAAAUGAAAGUAGCUAAUUUUCUUACCGUAAAUAAUUUCUUCGAAGAAAAUGUAUAUUGGAGUAAAUUUUUUUCGAAUUUAAGUUUACCGUAAUAUAUCGAAAUAAAGAACGAACAUUUUCUUAUAAAUACAAAUAUAUGACUACAGCAACUAUUCCUAAACCCAACAAAAUAAUAAUUAAAAUGCUAUGAAUCAAGAGAAUCAAUUUCAUUUCUAUGAUAUAGAAAUGAAAUUUUCUACUAAAUCUAAUCGUUUUUAAGCCGUUUGUAUUAUUUGUAAAGCUGUUCUUUGGUACGUAUGACAACUAGGGAUUAUUUCGGGUAUGAGACACACUUGCGUAUUACUGGGUCGAAAAUCACGGAAGGAAUGACUUAUCCUAGUUAAAUUGGUCACGUCAUAACGAUAGAAGACCAAGCUUCCUAGAUUCUAAUUCUCUAACUAGAACGCAUGGGGAUAAAUAUUUCCCCUCUCCUAUAGUUACGUAAUUAUAUUUGUAUCUUUAUGUAAAUAUUAUACUCUAUGUCUCGUUA
Vespula vulgaris is the source of this 2478-nucleotide long non-coding RNA. RefSeq lists it as uncharacterized. The transcript is spliced from 4 exons. The record is from RefSeq and is a predicted model, not a curated record. Lineage: Eukaryota; Metazoa; Arthropoda; Insecta; Hymenoptera; Vespidae.